GUGCUUGCUUUGGCAGCAUAUAUACUAAAAUGGGAACAAUAUAGAGAAAGUUGUCAUGACCCUGCACAAGGAUGACAUGCAAAUUUGUGAAACAUUCCCUGUUUUU
This 106-nucleotide small nuclear RNA is filed under the name Piliocolobus tephrosceles (Ugandan red Colobus). The record is from RNAcentral. Lineage: Eukaryota; Metazoa; Chordata; Mammalia; Primates; Cercopithecidae.